Non-coding RNA from Xyrichtys novacula (pearly razorfish), 921 nucleotides. NCBI's taxonomy places the organism in Eukaryota, Metazoa, Chordata, Actinopteri, Labriformes, Labridae. The record is from the annotation of a GenBank genome assembly.
CUGAAGUCUGCACCAGCACAGAAACCUGCCUCUGGACACCAUCAGACUCUACCAGAUGCCGUGGGCACCAUCCCCGAGAAACCGGUACAUAAAACAGAGAUAAUGAUUCACUUAUAGGUUAAAAACUGUGCCGGUCUAAAGAAUAAAUUUGUCCUUUUGUUUUAGGACUACACCGAGACGUCGAUGACCCCCUCUUGCUCCAGGACCCGGCUGAAGAAUGAAGACAAAGACUUGGUCCCCUGAUUGGAGGUAAGUCAAUCUUUGCGAGUGGUCUUGCUUGUUUCAGUCAAAGUUUUAUGGUGAUAAAUUGAUGUAAACAGUCCACUAACUGGAUCUGAUCCCUGUCUGCCUUCUGUAGUCACCACCCUGCAGGCGGACUUCCUGUCUCACUGUGAGCCCGUAGACCUUCAGCCUCGUCCAGAAAACCCUUACUCAGGACAUGGUGAGUGCGCCUUUCUCUUUCAGGCUCUACUUUGAGGAGCACACAUGAGCAGCUUUCUUAAAUCCUUCUAACAGAUGAGUCCGUUAAGAUUAUGAUAGUUGGAUGUUUUUACUCGAUGGGCACAGAUAAACCUCAACAACCCAUGAAGAGUGCAAGCUUUGCUAUGUCACUGUCACUUUAUAGAUCUCCUCCACCUUUAUAUCGCUGACAUUAUCAGUAUUAUUGACAUUAUAGGAUUAUCACUGAGACCUUUUCUGACUGAUAGAAAACUAAAUGAAAACGAGGCAGAAUAUUCACUCAUGACAGUUUUCUUCAUUUACAGGAGGAUACUCGAGUCUCGACUGAGGACCCAGUGAUGAAGAUGGAUGACCUGUCUGUGACACAAGGGUCAUAGAGGAUAGUUCUGUACUGAUGAAUCUAUUAUAAAUUAUUCAUCUGUUUGACCAGAUGAUGUGUUGUUAAACUUGCUAACAUUUGAG